RNAcentral lists this microRNA precursor (144 nucleotides) under Marmota monax (woodchuck). The record is from RNAcentral. Lineage: Eukaryota; Metazoa; Chordata; Mammalia; Rodentia; Sciuridae.
AAGUGCAUGAGCUGUCACAGCUCAACCUUUGGCACAAGAACUCUGUUCUCUUAAGCCUUCCUUUGCCUGUGUUGGAGAAGAAAGAUCUAGAAGGUUGCACAGAGUUCUUGUGCCAAAGGUUGAGCUGUGACAGCUCAUGCACUU